AUGGCAAUUGUCCAUACGUACGGGAAGCCUGACAUCUUCUUGACCAUGACCUGCAACCCUAACUGGGAAGAGAUAACGAAUGAGUUGUUUCCUGGUCAGACAGCGCAAGAUCGACCUGAUCUUGUGGCUCGUGUGUUCCAUGGCAAGCUAGAGGCUAUGAAAGAGAUCUUGUUCAAGAAGAAUAUCCUAGGUGUUGUUGUCGCACAUGUAUAUGUAGUCGAGUUCCAGAAGAGGGGCCUCCCCCAUGCACACUUUUUGUUGAUCAUGGAUUCUGCCUAUAAGCUUGUCGUUCCAGAGCAGUACGACCGACUCAUUUCUGCCGAGCUCCCAGACAAACAGAAGUAUCCUGAACUCCACACCUUGGUGGUGAAACAUAUGAUGCACGGACCAUGCGGUGCUCUCAACCCCAAAAAUGUGUGCAUGCAACAGAACGUGUGCAAGUGCAGAUACCCACGGCCGUUCAAUGAAAACACGGCACAGGGCAAGGACUCAUACCCAGUUUAUCGUCGUCGAGAUGAUGGUCGGCAGGCUAAGGUCCAUGGUAAAAUGUUGGACAACAGAUGGGUUGUGCCAUAUAACCCUUACCUUCUGCGGAUGUUCAAUUGCCACAUCAACGUUGAGGUUUGCUCCAGCAUAAAGGUCGUCAAAUACCUUUACAAGUACAUAUACAAGGGCCAUGGUAGGGCUUCUUUCAGCAUCGACCAGCCCGACGCCGAUGGUAACAUUGAUGAGAUCAAAAGAUACGUAGACGCGAGGUGGGUUACUCCUCCAGAGGCGAUGUGGAGGAUAUUUGGCUUCCCCUUGUGUGCAAAUGACCCGCCUGUCCUAUAG
RNAcentral lists this ribosomal RNA (831 nucleotides) under Triticum aestivum (bread wheat). RNAcentral describes it as "partial small subunit ribosomal RNA". The record is from RNAcentral. Lineage: Eukaryota; Viridiplantae; Streptophyta; Magnoliopsida; Poales; Poaceae.